Molecule: transfer RNA, 74 nt
Filed under: Sphingobacteriales bacterium
Lineage: Bacteria; Pseudomonadati; Bacteroidota; Sphingobacteriia; Sphingobacteriales
Description: tRNA-Cys
Rfam family: tRNA
About the family: Transfer RNA (tRNA) molecules are approximately 80 nucleotides in length. Their secondary structure includes four short double-helical elements and three loops (D, anti-codon, and T loops).
Source: RNAcentral
CGUCACGUGACCGAGAGGCUAGGUUAAGGGCUGCAAAUCCUUAUACGGUGGUUCGAAUCCACCCGUGACCACUA